This 253-nucleotide ribosomal RNA is filed under the name uncultured bacterium. RNAcentral describes it as "partial 16S ribosomal RNA". It matches the Rfam family "Bacterial small subunit ribosomal RNA", at positions 524 to 776 of the family's 1533-position model. The record is from RNAcentral.
UACAGAGGUCCCGAGCGUUGUUCGGAUUCACUGGGCGUAAAGGGUGCGUAGGUGGCGAGGUAAGUCGGAUGUGAAAGCUCGGAGCUCAACUCCGAAAUGGCAUUGGAAACUACCUUGCUCGAGGGUUGGAGGGGGGACUGGAAUACUUGGUGUAGCAGUGAAAUGCGUAGAUAUCAAGUGGAACACCAGUGGCGAAGGCGAGUCCCUGGACAACUCCUGACACUGAGGCACGAAGGCUAGGGGAGCGAACGGG